AUUGAACGCUGGCGGCAGGCCUAACACAUGCAAGUCGAGCGGAUGAAGGGAGCUUGCUCCUGGAUUCAGCGGCGGACGGGUGAGUAAUGCCUAGGAAUCUGCCUGGUAGUGGGGGAUAACGUCCGGAAACGGGCGCUAAUACCGCAUACGUCCUGAGGGAGAAAGUGGGGGAUCUUCGGACCUCACGCUAUCAGAUGAGCCUAGGCCGGAUUAGCUAGUUGGUGGGGUAAAGGCCUACCAAGGCGACGAUCCGUAACUGGUCUGAGAGGAUGAUCAGUCACACUGGAACUGAGACACGGUCCAGACUCCUCCGGGAGGCAGCAGUGGGGAAUAUUGGACUAUGGGAGAAAGCCUACUCCAGCCAUGCCGCGUGUGUGAAGAAGGUCUUCGGAUUGUAAAGCACUUUACGUUGGGAGGAAGGGCAGUAAGUUAAUACCUUGCUGUUUUGACGUUACCAACCGAAUAAGCACCGGCUAACUUCGUG
RNAcentral lists this ribosomal RNA (484 nucleotides) under uncultured bacterium. RNAcentral's name for it is "partial 16S ribosomal RNA". It matches the Rfam family "Bacterial small subunit ribosomal RNA", at positions 30 to 507 of the family's 1533-position model. The record is from RNAcentral.